This 207-nucleotide ribosomal RNA is filed under the name uncultured bacterium. RNAcentral's name for it is "partial 16S ribosomal RNA". It matches the Rfam family "Bacterial small subunit ribosomal RNA", at positions 568 to 774 of the family's 1533-position model. The record is from RNAcentral.
UGCUCAGGCGGACUUGUAAGUCAGAGGUGAAAUACCGAAGCUUAACUUCGGCACUGCCUUUGAUACUGCAAGCCUUGAGUUUGAGAGAGGGUAAUGGAAUAUCUGGUGUAGCAGUGAAAUGCGUAGAUAUCAGAUAGAACACCAAUGGCGAAGGCAGUUACCUGGCUCAAAACUGAAGCUAAGCACGAAGUGGUGGGGAGACAAACA